This is a non-coding RNA of Paramuricea clavata, 2464 nucleotides long. The record is from the annotation of a GenBank genome assembly. Lineage: Eukaryota; Metazoa; Cnidaria; Anthozoa; Malacalcyonacea; Plexauridae.
AUGGAAUUGUAGAAGAAACAACAGCGACAGCUCUAACAAUUGAAACUAAACAAAACUUAACACUAAAACCUAAAAAUAAAUAGCAACUGCACUGAAGUGUACUGCAUAUUUAAUAGUUAAGAAUCCUGAAUAUUUACCCGUCCAACAGCGUCUUCAAAUCCCAAAUCCUGCUAAUCUUUUUUUUUUAUUUCGUUACCAAAAUGAGCGUUAUCCCGGCCUUACCCCACAAGAAACUAUUGUGAUUUGUGAACUUAAUCUAAUAGACAGUAAGUAGUUUAAUACAGUAUAUAAUGGGUUGCAAUUAUAUGUGAGGAUUUUUAAUUAAUGAGGUAUAUCACAGUCAUAAUGUCACUUUGUUUGAGGCACCAUUUUACCAAAUGGAAUCAUUGCGUACGUACCAGAGACUAUCCCUUUUUUAUUUUUUGUUUCCCGUCAGGGAAGAAACCCGAAUAUAAUAAAAUUAUAGAGAAAAUAGGAAAAAAUCGAAGACUCUCAUAAGGGACUGGUCAUAAAGUAACUGCUAGGGUGGGCUGGAGGUAAAUCACAAAUUUUGCCAAUAAGUUUGGUGACCCAUCUUAGGAUGUAGAUAAAAAUUUCAAAGCCCAUCUAAUCUUGCCAAAUUUAUUUCAUGACCCACCCACCCAAUCUAAAUUGGGAAAAUACAAUUUUAUAACAAAAAAAAACUUGCAAGUAUGAACAUUGUAAAUAUACACCGGCACUGUAUUGACAUACAUAAUUCCACCAAGCUUGACCAACACAUUCAUCACCAAUUACGAUACUGAGCUGCUCUCCAGUUGGUUGUACUUGCUGUGAUUCGACUACUUCUUGUUGUUGUAUAAAACAAAGCACUGGCUUCAAUAGCAUGCAUCAUUUGCAUUUGAUAAUUUGGAUAAUUUUGUUUAGCUACUUUUAUUAUUAUUAUCUUUAUGUAAUAUAUAAUUAACGUGGGUUUUUGUGUGGUGGCCCAACCGUGGACACACCAAAAAAUUGGCGACCCAUCGAAACUGCCCAAAGAUUUUCCAUGGCCCAUCCCAAAUCACUCCAGCCCACCCUAGCAGUUACUUUAUGACCGGUCCCUAAAUGAAAGGAAACGAAGGGCAUUGAUAUUAAAGUGCUUAUGUCACAAAAAUUAUUUUUUGAUAUUUGGUAGAGGACAAAAAGUUAGUUAAUAGGUUCUUUAACAUUUUUCGGUUUUCUCUUUUCAUUCGCGAGAUACGAGGCUCUAAACAGCGAUUUUCGUAAAAUUGUCGCGUAUCAACAAGAGUCUGGGACGAGCGUGGUGUGACGUAGCUUAAGGGACUUAAUUUCGACGCGCAUUAUACAUUUGAUAUAUUUUCCAGCAUGUCAGGCAUUAGCUCGGAUUCGGAAAGCAUUCAUAGUUCUCAAUGUGACUCAGAAUACAAUUAUAUUCCUGGAUAUAUUAUAGAGGAUGAAUCAAAUGAUACUAGUCACGAAAUUGGAACUCUAGAAGCAGUUGAUAGCGAAAUUUUAGGCGAUUAUGAUGCAUGCCUUUAUGCCGAUGAACCGCUAGCCGGCGAAGAAUGGUACGCACGAUAUUUCAGAAAUUCAGCAGAACACAAGCAACAAAAAGAGAUGCUACAGCGAAGGUUAGAUGGCCUUGAAGAUAUUAAAUUAUUGUGAGUGUAAACAUAGAUUUAUUUUAACAUUUUAACGUAAAAUAAGUAUCUCUGGCUAAUAUAUUUUGCGGGAUACGGGCUCAUAUGGCAUCAAUCACAACAAAGAGUUUAUAAAACCACACUUCCCUCACCUUCGCAAGAAAAUACAAGACACGAGAUCAAAGAAAAUAUAAACAGACUGGUUCAGAGCAAAUUACGUAUAUAUUCUUGUUUGAAGCACAGUGUUUAUCUGUGAUCACGUUUAUUUAAUACGAACGAUUGAACGAUUGUAUUUUCUCGCAAGUUCAAUUCUUAAAGCCCAUUUUUCCAAAAUAGAAUAGAAUAGAAUAGAAACUUUAUUUCACGAGGGAAAACGUAUUAACCGUAAAAGUUAUCUAACAUACGGCCCUCGCACUAUUUUGAUAUUUACAGGCAUAAAAAGUAUUAAGGAUUACGACUAUUUACAUUUGAGAAAAAAAUAAUUAGUAAUGAAUACAAUUACAAUUUAGUAAAUAUUUACAAUUUAUACAAAAUAGAUCUUCGAUAUGGUUAGUAAGGGUAAGCUUGUUAAGAAAGAUUUUACGAAUUUUUUGUUUGGCGUUAGCAUAGAAUAAAGAUCCAUAUAGAAGGGCCACUCAGGGGUGCAACGUGUCCUCGUUUUUUUAUGCAAAAAUAUGCAGUUUACUGGCCAGAAGGCGGAGCAGCCAGCCAGUACAGCGUGUUUAUUGGCCAAAAAAUGUCAUUGACUGGCUAGGAAAAUGGCGGCCAACAUGCGUAAUGCGACAUGCGCGAGGACAGAAACUUCAAAGCUUCCGACGUAAGUGGCCCUUCUAUAUGGAUCUUUAUUC